GAUGAACGCUAGCUACAGGCUUAACACAUGCAAGUCGAGGGGCAGCGGGAUUGAAGCUUGCUUCAAUUGCCGGCGACCGGCGCACGGGUGAGUAACGCGUAUCCAACCUUCCGCUUACUCGGGGAUAGCCUUUCGAAAGAAAGAUUAAUACCCGAUGGUAUCUUAAGCACGCAUGAGAUUAAGAUUAAAGAUUUAUCGCUCUGAGAUGGCCUCGCGUCUGAUUAGCUAGUUGGCGGGGUAACGGCCCACCAAGGCGACGAUCAGUAGCCGGACUGAGAGGUUGGCCGGCCACAUUGGGACUGAGACACGGCCCAG
RNAcentral lists this ribosomal RNA (315 nucleotides) under uncultured bacterium. Its description in RNAcentral is "bacterial SSU rRNA". It matches the Rfam family "Bacterial small subunit ribosomal RNA", at positions 28 to 334 of the family's 1533-position model. The record is from RNAcentral.